UACGUAGGUGGCAAGCGUUGUCCGGAUUUACUGGGCGUAAAGGGUGCGUAGGUGGUUUCUUAAGUCAGAGGUGAAAGGCUACGGCUCAACCGUAGUAAGCCUUUGAAACUGGGAAACUUGAGUGCAGGAGAGGAGAGUGGAAUUCCUAGUGUAGCGGUGAAAUGCGUAGAUAUUAGGAGGAACAUCAGUGGCGAAGGCGGCUUACUGGACUGUAACUGACACUGAGGCUCGAAAGCGUGGGGAGCAAACAGGAUUAGAUACCCCGGUAGUCCCUGAGCGGG
RNAcentral lists this ribosomal RNA (281 nucleotides) under uncultured prokaryote. RNAcentral's name for it is "partial 16S ribosomal RNA". It matches the Rfam family "Bacterial small subunit ribosomal RNA", at positions 524 to 803 of the family's 1533-position model. The record is from RNAcentral.